This 70-nucleotide transfer RNA is filed under the name Stegodyphus mimosarum. It matches the Rfam family "tRNA". From Rfam's summary of the family: Transfer RNA (tRNA) molecules are approximately 80 nucleotides in length. Their secondary structure includes four short double-helical elements and three loops (D, anti-codon, and T loops). Lineage: Eukaryota; Metazoa; Arthropoda; Arachnida; Araneae; Eresidae. The record is from Rfam by way of RNAcentral.
GCCUUCGUGUUGUAGUGAGCACGCUUGGCUUGUAAACGAGAGGUCCGUGGUUCGAUUCCCGAUGAAGGCG